This 325-nucleotide ribosomal RNA is filed under the name uncultured bacterium. Its description in RNAcentral is "bacterial SSU rRNA". It matches the Rfam family "Bacterial small subunit ribosomal RNA", at positions 28 to 353 of the family's 1533-position model. The record is from RNAcentral.
GACGAACGCUGGCGGCGUGCUUAACACAUGCAAGUCGAGCGGUAAGGCCCUUUCGGGGGGUACACGAGCGGCGAACGGGUGAGUAACACGUGGGUGACCUGCCCUCAGCUCUGGGAUAAGCCUGGGAAACCGGGUCUAAUACUGGAUAUGACUCCAUGACGCAUGUUGUGGGGUGGAAAGCCUUGUGCGGCUGAGGAUGGGCCCGCGGCCUAUCAGCUUGUUGGUGGGGUGAUGGCCUACCAAGGCGACGACGGGUAGCCGGCCUGAGAGGGCGACCGGCCACACUGGGACUGAGACACGGCCCAGACUCCUACGGGAGGCAGCA